RNAcentral lists this signal recognition particle RNA (246 nucleotides) under Pongo abelii (Sumatran orangutan). RNAcentral describes it as "Metazoan signal recognition particle RNA (ENSPPYG00000030959.1)". It matches the Rfam family "Metazoan signal recognition particle RNA". Rfam says of the family: The signal recognition particle (SRP) is a universally conserved ribonucleoprotein. It is involved in the co-translational targeting of proteins to membranes. The record is from Rfam by way of RNAcentral. Lineage: Eukaryota; Metazoa; Chordata; Mammalia; Primates; Hominidae.
GCCAGGUGUGGUGGCAUGCACCUGUAAUCCCAGCUACUUGGGAGGCUGAGGGAGAAGAAUCGCUUGAACCCUGGAGAUGGAGGUUGCAGUGAGCUGAGAUCAUGCCAGUGCACUCCAGCCUGGGUGAAAGAGUGAGACUCUUUUUUUUGAGACAGAGUCUUGCUCUGUUGCCCAGGCUGGAGUGCAGUAGCGUGAUCUCGGCUCACUGCAACCUCCGCCUCCCCGGUUCAAGUGAUUCCCCUGCCU